This 425-nucleotide long non-coding RNA is filed under the name Malus domestica (apple). RNAcentral describes it as "long non-coding RNA (MDOM_LNC011267)". The record is from RNAcentral. Lineage: Eukaryota; Viridiplantae; Streptophyta; Magnoliopsida; Rosales; Rosaceae.
UGAUGAGGUGAGUGUAGGCAACGAGGAUAGCUAUAUAUCGUAUCAUCGUGAGGCUAUUCUUGAACCCCUUCACGCACUAAGCAUGGUGGGAAGAACUUAACUAAGUGCAAUGGAACCAAUAUCAUAUCAUUGUGAGGUUACAUUCUCUAGAGGCCAAAUAAGAUGGGUACUUGCAUUAGUUGCAAAUGAGUAAGCGUACUCUCUCAUUAUUAUUGUUGCUAGCCAUAUAUCGUAUCAUCGUGAGGUGGGCUUGAUAAUAGUGAGCCUCCCAUAACCUACUAAGAGUUUCAUCCAAAACUCUCGAAUUCCAAUGAGGGAUAUGGAAUUUGCCAAAAAUAGUGGGUGAUGCUAUUUGAUUUAAAGACCCGAAUCAAAUGGCUUAAAAUCAAUCAAUUUAUAUACGUUAUGUAUUUGUUUACCAAUAU